This is a long non-coding RNA of Pieris rapae (cabbage white), 372 nucleotides long. RefSeq lists it as uncharacterized. NCBI's taxonomy places the organism in Eukaryota, Metazoa, Arthropoda, Insecta, Lepidoptera, Pieridae. The record is from RefSeq and is a predicted model, not a curated record. The transcript is spliced from 3 exons.
AAGGGCCUUUGGCUGAAGGAGCGUCGCGUGCCACCAGAAGUCUUAGGAACCAUGUAUUCUGAAUACUGCAGUCUAAUUAACCGAAUGUAUGACGCAUAUCUUAAUAGCACACAUCUACAGAGAGCGCCCUACAUAAAACCUUUGAUAAGUGUUUUUAUGAAACGUAUGUACGAGUUACGUAAUGAAUUAGUACAUUUAAUAGUGAAUGAUUAUAUUUACGUUGAUGAUGGCUUAAUACAGACCAGAAGAACUCCAUUCGAUAUUCAGAUAAUAAUACCAUAUCACUUACCUUUGGAAUGCAGAGACGACUCUAUGGAACACCUCUUGCAAAAGAUGUGGGCUGAUUCCAUUUCAAGGAAAAAUGCUCCACCA